This 253-nucleotide ribosomal RNA is filed under the name uncultured bacterium. RNAcentral's name for it is "partial 16S ribosomal RNA". It matches the Rfam family "Bacterial small subunit ribosomal RNA", at positions 524 to 776 of the family's 1533-position model. The record is from RNAcentral.
UACGGAGGAUGCAAGCGUUAUCCGGAAUGAUUGGGCGUAAAGCGUCCGCAGGUGGCUAUGUAAGUCUGCUGUUAAAGAGUGAGGCUCAACCUCAUAAGAGCAGUGGAAACUACAUGGCUAGAGUGCGUUCGGGGCAGAGGGAAUUCCUGGUGUAGCGGUGAAAUGCGUAGAUAUCAGGAAGAACACCGGUGGCGAAAGCGCUCUGCUAGGCCGCAACUGACACUGAGGGACGAAAGCUAGGGGAGCGAAAGGG